UAUCUAAUAUGGCAGAUUAGUGCAAUAAAUUUAAAAUUUAUUUAUGUA
Molecule: transfer RNA, 48 nt
Filed under: Ceratosolen vissali
Lineage: Eukaryota; Metazoa; Arthropoda; Insecta; Hymenoptera; Agaonidae
Description: partial tRNA-Leu
Source: RNAcentral